Myotis brandtii (Brandt's bat) is the source of this 76-nucleotide non-coding RNA. The record is from Rfam. NCBI's taxonomy places the organism in Eukaryota, Metazoa, Chordata, Mammalia, Chiroptera, Vespertilionidae.
GGUGGUUCUCAGGUGAUGCACCCCAGAUGUGGUCUCACUCCUCUAUGGUUCCGGGGUGCAUCACCUGAGAACUGCC